This 253-nucleotide ribosomal RNA is filed under the name uncultured bacterium. RNAcentral describes it as "partial 16S ribosomal RNA". It matches the Rfam family "Bacterial small subunit ribosomal RNA", at positions 524 to 776 of the family's 1533-position model. The record is from RNAcentral.
UACGAAGGGUGCAAGCGUUACUCGGAAUUACUGGGCGUAAAGCGUGCGUAGGUGGUGCGUUAAGUCUGUCGUGAAAGCCCCGGGCUCAACCUGGGAAUGGCGAUGGAUACUGGCGCGCUAGAGUGCGGUAGAGGAGAGUGGAAUUCCCGGUGUAGCAGUGAAAUUCGUAGAUAUCGAGAGGAACACCGGUGGCGAAGGCGGCCUUCUGGACAGUGACUGACGCUGAGACGCGAAAGCGUGGGGAGCAAACAGG